CCGCACAGUGGUCCAUCUCAUAGGUCAUAGGGCUGAAAUGUCGAUGGUUGAAUUAUGACGUCAUUUAUCACUACAGGGUAGACAAAUAACCCUUCUACCCCCAGAUAUAAAAAAAAUUACAAUAACAUGAAAGGAUCAUUUCAUUUUGUGCAACCGAAGUGAUAACAUUCCAAUAGUGCUAAGUAGCGUUGUCUUUGUCGGCAAAAUUUCUACUGUUUUAAAGUGUUUUUUUCUCGGAAAUUGAUUGUUUGUGAUAAUUUUGUGCCAUGAAUGUUCAAAUAGAAGGAUCCAUCAUCAAGUGUUCUUUUCCUCGAAUGCUUGUCCUAGACACGUGGUUGAAUGCGACAAGUAAAGAAAAUGAGGAAGAUAGAUCUCGUGAAGUGUUUGGAAUGCUAGCAAAUCAUCACACUAUUAAUGCUACUACUGCUAAUGCUACUAAACAUCAAUACAUUUUAUUAAAAAACUUGAUUAAUUCUAAAAUACCAAAUGGUUUUCCAUGUUAUCAAAGAGUGUUGGAAGCCAAAAAACGUUGCUACCCAACUGAUAUUCGCGUAACGGAAUCAUCUGCUGAGAUUAAUUUGCAAUCGUUGUUAGAUCAUACAUCAAGUCGAACAUUCCCGAGAAGUAACUAAUAUGGAUCUUUUGAACAGACUUCUUCUUAAUUCAGACCCACUUAUUUCUAGCAUAAGAAAGUUACCUUGUAAGAAGAAGUCUGUAUUAGCAAAAUAAGUGUUGAAUUUAUUAUGUACUUAAACUAUAUUGGCAUAAAAGAAACCUGUAAAUAUUGUGAAUUAUAAUGUUUUCCUAUUAUG
This is a long non-coding RNA of Pieris napi, 812 nucleotides long. RefSeq lists it as uncharacterized. NCBI's taxonomy places the organism in Eukaryota, Metazoa, Arthropoda, Insecta, Lepidoptera, Pieridae. The record is from RefSeq and is a predicted model, not a curated record. The transcript is spliced from 2 exons.